UCUUUUUUCUUUCUUUCUUUUU
RNAcentral lists this small RNA (22 nucleotides) under Arabidopsis thaliana (thale cress). RNAcentral describes it as "ATSL068920". The record is from RNAcentral. Lineage: Eukaryota; Viridiplantae; Streptophyta; Magnoliopsida; Brassicales; Brassicaceae.